RNAcentral lists this ribosomal RNA (253 nucleotides) under uncultured bacterium. RNAcentral's name for it is "partial 16S ribosomal RNA". It matches the Rfam family "Bacterial small subunit ribosomal RNA", at positions 524 to 776 of the family's 1533-position model. The record is from RNAcentral.
UACGUAGGGUGCAAGCGUUGUUCGGAAUCACUGGGCGUAAAGGGCGUGUAGGCGGAUCGAUAAGCUAUGGGUAAAAGCCUGGGGCUCAACUCCAGAAGGUCUCAUAGAACUGUCGAUCUUGAGAGAGCUAGGGGUUAGUGGAAUUCUUGGUGUAGAGGUGAAAUUCGUAGAUAUCAAGAGGAACACCGGUGGCGAAAGCGGCUAACUGGGGCUAUUCUGACGCUGAGGCGCGAAAGCAUGGGGAGCAAACAGG